GAAGGAAAAGCAUUGUUUGU
RNAcentral lists this non-coding RNA (20 nucleotides) under Rattus norvegicus (Norway rat). The record is from RNAcentral. Lineage: Eukaryota; Metazoa; Chordata; Mammalia; Rodentia; Muridae.